UCGAGGACAUUGUGGCUCACCAGAGGCCAGUGUGGUUCAGAGAAGGUUUGGAAACGUCUGAAACCUCUAACCACAGGAGCAGCCGGCCACCCAAGCCGACACAGUGUGGGUGAGAGCCAAUAUCAGCAAUGAUGAUGAUGAUGAUGAUGCCACCCACCGCUGUGCCACAGAGAGGAAGGACGGUGUCCAGUGACCAGAACAGAGAUCUGAUAGCUGCGGCUCUGAUUCUACAGCACCGGACCCCCAUUAGCAGAUAAUCUGUUUCUCUCCAGCAUGUGAAUCGUGUAGUGAGGUCCAGGGGUCGGCGAUGUUGAUCGUGUCUGGUCCGUGUGAGUCCAACUCUCGGCUGGAUACAGACAGUGACGGCCCAUACGCUUCAUCUGUGAUUACAGGACUUUUCCAUCUCACGGAUCUGCCAGCAACUCCCACAGUAUUGAUCCUCUAAUAAAAGUCAACAUAGAGAGCAGAAAGAUGCUGAAUAAAAUUACUGCCAUCUCUUUCUUA
Molecule: long non-coding RNA, 504 nt
Organism: Paramisgurnus dabryanus
Lineage: Eukaryota; Metazoa; Chordata; Actinopteri; Cypriniformes; Cobitidae
Source: RefSeq, a predicted model, not a curated record